CAUUUCUGAGCUUAUCCGAGAGCGGGACGGCUGUCAGUUGCCCAACGGCCGGCAUCAACGCCGAUGCCCUCUCCCUCCCUUCCCGCCGGUGCUGCCAUGGCUUCAACCCUCGCCGCCCUUCCCCCCGGGCUCCCACCGUCGCCACCUCCAAUCCAGACCCCUCAUCGCCACUUCAACCCACGUAUGCCAAACCUGCAGGCGCUCUCGUCCGAAAACCCCUCCGCCUCCGCCGCGGCGUCGCUCCUCGCCGCCGCCGCGCGCGCCGGCGACCUCCGCCUCGGCCGCGCGCUCCACCGCCGCCUCCUCGGCGCCGAGAUCCUCGACACCGACGCCCUGGUCGCCAACUCGCUCCUCACCAUGUACUCAAAGUGCGGCCACGUGAGCGCCGCGCGCAGGGUGUUCGACGGAAUGCGCGGCCUGCGGGACCUCGUGUCCUGGACGGCAAUGGCCUUCUGCCUCGCGCGAAACGGCGCGGAGCAGGAGGCCCUGCUCCUCCUCGGCGAGAUGCUCGAGUCGGGGCUCCGGCCCAACGCGUUCACGCUCUGCGCAGCCGCUCGUGCCUGCUUUCCGGGGGAGCUCUUUCGCCUGUCUGGCACCGCGGUCCUUGGGUUUGUGCUCAAGACGGGGUUCUGGGGCACCGACGUGUCGGUGGGCUGCGCCUUGAUUGAUAUGUUCGCCAGGAACGGAGACCUGGUAGCAGCACGGAAGGUGUUUGAUGGGUUGGUUGAGAGGACAGCGGUCGUCUGGACGCUGAUGAUUACACGGUAUGUGCAAGGCGGGUGUGCAGGCGAGGCGGUUGAAUUAUUUCUUGGCAUGCUAGAAGAUGGUUUUGAGCCCGACGGAUACACCAUGAGCAGCAUGAUUUCGGCAUGCGCAGAGCAGGGAUCAGUCGGAUUCGGGCAGCAACUGCAUUCUCUAGUACUACGGCUGGGGCUGGUUUCUGAUACUUGUGUGAGCUGUGGACUUGUGGACAUGUACGCAAAAUUGCAAAUGGAACAGUCCAUGGAAUGUGCAAGGAAAGUCUUCAAACGAAUGCCCACACAUAACGUCAUGUCAUGGACAGCACUGAUAUCAGGAUAUGUGCAAUGUGGAGCACAGGAAAACAAUGCAAUAGAACUCCUCUGCGAAAUGUUAAAUGAGAGCAUCGAACCAAACCACAUCACAUAUUCUAGUCUUCUUAAGGCAUGUGCAAACCUUUCUGAUCAAGAUUCAGGCAGGCAGAUUCAUGCCCGUGUCAUGAAGACCGGCAUAGGGAAUGUAAACGUUGUUGGGAAUGCUCUGGUCAGCAUGUAUGCUGAAUCUGGUUGCAUGGAGGAGGCUAGAAAGGCGUUCGACCAGCUUUAUGAAAGUAACAUACUUUCCACCAGUUCUGAUAUUGGUGGAACUGAGAGCAGCAAUGCCUCUUGGAGUUCUCAGAUUGAGAGCAUGGGUGUCGGAGUCAGCACCUUCACAUUUGCUAGUCUGCUUAGUGCUGCUACCACUGUAGGGUUGCCAACCAAGGGUCAGCAACUGCAUGCGUUUUCAAUCAAAGCAGGCUUUGAGUCUGAUCAAGGUAUAAGCAAUUCCCUUGUUUCCAUGUAUUCGAGGUGUGGAUAUUUGGAUGAUGCUUGUCGAGCAUUUGAUGAAAUGGCCGACCAUAAUGUGAUUUCAUGGACUUCAGUAAUCAGUGGCUUAGCCAAGCAUGGGCACGCGGAACGAGCGUUGUCAUUGUUUCAUGACAUGAUCUUAUCCGGUGUCAAACCAAAUGAUGUCACAUACAUUGCUGUGUUAUCUGCCUGUAGCCAUGUCGGUCUAGUGAAAGAAGGAAAGGAAUACUUCAGAUCAAUGCAGAAGGAUCACGGACUCGUACCGAGGAUGGAACAUUAUGCUUGCAUGGUGGAUCUUCUUGCACGAUCAGGUCUUGUUCAAGAAGCCCUGGAGUUCAUUAAUGAAAUGCCCUGUAAAGCGGAUGCAUUGAUUUGGAAGACUCUCCUCGGUGCUUGUAGGACUUACGAUAAUAUUGAGAUUGGUAAAAUUGCAGCCAAUCAUGUCAUAGAUCUCGAGCCGCGAGAUCCAGCUCCAUAUGUCCUUCUCUCAAACUUGUAUGCCCGCGGUGGUCUAUGGGACGAAGUUGCAAGAAUAAGGAGUCUGAUGAGACACAAGAACUUGAGUAAAGAAACUGGCUUGAGUUGGAUGCAUGUUGGAAACACCAUUCACGAGUUCAGAGCUGGUGACACCGGCCAUCCGCAAGCACAAGAGAUCUAUGCAAAGUUGGCUGCGUUGAUCAGAGAAAUUAAAGACAUUGGCUACGUACCAGACACAAGCAUCGUGCUCCAUGACAUGUCGGAUGAGCUCAAGGAGGAGUGUCUGCUCCAGCACAGCGAGAAGAUUGCUGUGGCAUUUGGUUUGAUUACUACGUCGCCAACAAAACCAAUAAGGAUCUUUAAGAAUCUCCGUGUGUGCGCAGAUUGCCAUUCUGCAAUCAAGUAUAUCUCUAAAUCCACUGGAAGGGAGGUAAUAUUGAGAGAUAGCAACAGGUUCCAUAGGAUGAAAGAUGGAAAAUGCUCAUGCGGAGAGUACUGGUGAGCUGUGAAUGGCGAUUGAUGAGCAGGUUUGGUUUUUUGAUUAAGAAACUCUAGAGGUUUCUUGCUCAGCAUGGCCUUUUUGCUGGUAAAUACUAACUGAUGUUCAUUUUUUUAGCUUUUCUAAACCAUUGAUUUUGCAAAGGAUUAGAUGUUGUUUCUGUAUAGUUAGUCUAUCAUAAAGUUAUAGAGUAUGUAAAGUCAUAUGAACAAUACAAACUUGACUAGCAGCAUGUUUCUUAUCUUUUUGGGUAUACUUGGAUUACUUCCGGAAGUCCUUAGCUGAUAGCUGGUUAGAAGAAUAAAUACAUCCAUUUAAUUCCCAGUAGGGGGAAUGAACUUAGUUGUUUUCCACCCAGGAAGGAACAAAAUGAUCCAUUUAGUCCACAUCCAGGAACAAUGUUUACAUGGAAAAUGCUGCACUUCAUGGACUCUCCUUGGGUUACCAUGUGCUGCUCAUAAGGUUGAGGGUGAUCAAAAUGACAAAUACAUACACAUGGUGAAGACAAAAAUUCAUUCUAGAUCCGGAAGCAUCAACCGUUUGAACCCAUGGUCGCAUCUGACAACAUAAUACAAAAGCCUUCUGUUAAAACAGACAAGCUGACUGAAUACAUACUUCAGUAUCACAAGAGUAUAUGGAUCAUACUCCCUCCGUCCGAAAAUACUUGUCAUCAAAAUGGGUAAAAAAGGAUGUAUCUAUAACUAAAAUACGUCUAGAUACAUCCCCUUUUAUUUAUUUUGAUGACAAGUAAUUCCGGACGGAGGGAGUACUGUACAAGCUAAUUCUUCAUAUCACAACUGUCAGACAGUUUGCAGUAUGCAGUGAGAGAGUCAAAAUAGCUGCACUAUUUAAUAAAAUGCCCAGACUGAAGUGCACGAGAAAAGUACUAAAUCAGAACUUGUCUCAUUCCAUCCUUCUCAGUUCUGGUGGAAGCCGCACACCGUGUAACACUGGAGUCUUGGAUCUCCAUCAAUUCAGUCAGACAAGCCAUUAACAGCUUUUGUUUUUGCCCAUGGAAGUAUCCUAGACUUGUGAAGUACCACCACGAUUUGGUUGAAGUUCCUGCAUUAGUUCAUGUCUCACCUCUGUCACCAGGUGAUGCCUACAAAAUGUUGAAUUGAGAUGGCAUCUCCUGUUAAGAUCCAGCAGCCACUUAAACCCAACACAUGUAGCUGGGCAGGGGGCACAAACCCAACAAAACACAAGAUGUGUCAAAUUUGAGUCGGAACAUGGGACAUGCAAUGCAGGGUCAGACAAUAAAUCACUUUUUAGGUACAGAUAUUUUACGGCUCUAGAGGAUGCCAGCCAAGGGAGGUAUAGUUUCAUCUGACAGUGGUGUAUCCUCCAGAUUUAGACUUACAAAGAUACUAGUUGAAUGCCCGUGCGUUGUUACGGGAAAAUAUAGCACUGAAUAUAAGUGUUUGUCGAAAGCAGGACAAACAUCAAUGUUUUUCACACCUCCCUACUCAUGGCUAGUUCCUGGUUGCCUCGCUACAAUUAUGGUAGCCCUGGAUGUUGUCCUCUUCAACUCUAAUGAAUCUCUGAUGUGUUCUUAUCUUGUAGGGAACAAAAGGUUACGCAUUUGGAGUCUUACCCUUAAUACCGAUGAUAAAUAAGUACUAAAAGAUGAUAUUGUUGUAACCCGCAUCAACCUUUUGAAUAUAUAUUUCGUAGUGGGGGAAGCCCUGUCAGCACCACCUCUAUCCGCUACGCUUUAGAAAAUGCAAUAUUAACAUCCAUACUCCAGAUUUGGCAGUGUUCAAAGUAACGAAGUUUUUAUGGAAGGAUUCAAAAAGUAGCAUGCCACGUCACCAUGUACUCAUGCCUUGCCACCGGAUAUAAAGAGAAGAAUUAAUCUACAAAUCAAAGAAAGGGCGAUCAGUUCUUCAGUUCUGGCGUUUCUUCCAGGGAGCUUCAAACAUCAGCCGAUGGACCUUCUGACUGUUCAAUCUAGGCAGGAAAUAUCCACUGCUUCUUGAAGAAAGGGCCCAGAUUGAUGCUUGGAACAUCUUGAAGACAUGAAAUUAUGUACUCCCUCCGUUCCAAAUUACUUGUCUUGGAUUUGUCUAGAUACGGAUGUAUCUAGACUUAUUUUAGUGCUAGAUACCUCCGUAUCUAGACAAAUCUAAGACAAGUAAUUCGGAACAGAGGGAGUAAUUGAGUAUGUGUUGCUCAAAUUGUGUAAUGGUUGACCAGAUUGCCUGUAAUGGAGUAUGUGUUAUGUGGA
RNA transcript from Triticum dicoccoides, 4789 nucleotides. It is a transcript of the gene named pentatricopeptide repeat-containing protein At3g49170, chloroplastic-like, with no coding region annotated. The record is from RefSeq and is a predicted model, not a curated record. NCBI's taxonomy places the organism in Eukaryota, Viridiplantae, Streptophyta, Magnoliopsida, Poales, Poaceae. The transcript is spliced from 2 exons.